CUGGAUUGGUUUUCCCUCAAGAAAUUUUUUUAGGAUAUCUGUUGUAGUGCAUACAGAAAAAGAGAGUAGAUAGGAAAAUCAUUUCAUGUGUAUAUUGGAAAUGUUAUUAAUUUCAAUAAUUAGAUUUCAGCGAGUAAUUUCAGAAUGUUUAAUAGUUUAAACUAUAAUACGGACAAUAUAGAGAAUAUAAACUAAAAAUAGUAGGGAAAACUAGCCAGUAAUUUGGAAUCAAGUAUAGUGUGGAGUGGGAGGAUCAAAUAGCAAUGGAUUUAUUCCACUAGUUAGACUUUAUCUUUUCAUGGCUUCUCUUGUAUCCUUCUCUCUCCCUAAAGCUUUUGUAACUAGAUCUUCGUCAUCUGUCUCAGAAACAGACACGGACACCUCUUUUCCUGAGACUCUUGACUAGAAGUUGGGACGGAAAGGUAUUAAAUUCUUAGAAUCAGGCGAUGUUCCUACAGUUUAGCUGACAGUUAGAAAUGGAAGCUCACUGAAACUUCAGAUACCCAAUGGCCAUGUUAAGGAGGUUCUCUAUACUCUUCCUGCCAAGGAACGGGGGCAGGUUAUACCAACACUAAAGGUGGCAUUGGUUUGGUCAUCAAUGAGGUGUCUGGACCAAAUUCCAAAAGUUCUGCUCUCAAGACUUCUGAAUGGACAGUAAAAGAUGUUGAUUCAGAUUCAAUUGAUGCUUUCCAGGUACUGUUUCAUUCUACUCUUUCUUCUGUGACUGGAAACUGUCUGUCUUAAUUAUCUAAUACUCAUCUUUGGGCAGGCAAUUUUUUUCAUAUGAUUCUAAUUUUUAUCAUUGGGAAAUCAAUUUCAGUUGUUACGGUUACAAAGUGAAUAAUAUUUCCUCGAAUCUUUGGAAUACGUUUUAUUACAAUUUGCAUCUUUAUUGCCUUUUUCCUGGGAAUCGGAUCUUCCACUACCUGUUUACUCAGACUGUUCGUUUUCCUCUGAUGCUUUCAAUAAUUCAUAAGUCAGUUCUUAUCCGAUCAUAUAAUUUUCUGUGGUGAUUAAGAAAUCAACUGUUGUAAUUGGAGAUUAUAUAUAGAGAUUGAAUGGGUAAGAUCAAUUUUCAUAUCAUGGCAGGUUGAAUUGAGCUGCAGCAGCGGAACUGUUGAAAUAAGCUAUGUAGUGUCACUAUAUCCGUUAAGCUAGGGGGGGGGGGGGGGGGGUUUAUAGGGGCAAUUGACCCCCUAGAUUUUGGGGAAAAAAAAUUAUUGCUUAGCUUUUUUUUUUUUUCUUUUUUUUUUCCUUAGUUUUUUUUAUUAGAAGAUAUCCUGUAAAUUUUAUUUUUGCCCCCCUAAGCCAAGUCGUCUGGGUCCGCCCCUGGCAACAGCAGUUAUUGUGAAGAAUAAUGGCACAAGGCUAUCAACCUCAACACUGCUUUACUGAGUUAUUUCAAGUCGAAGAAAAGAAGCAAUACAGGAGUCCAAGGAUUGUAAGGCUACUCUUACUGUACACACCCGCAUUUGACCUCAGCUUCUGAAACCAUGUUUCCAUCUGAAGCUAUGAAAUCUGAAGAUCCUCGUUUGUUCUCUUUCGGCUGGGAGCAAUUGAAGCAUAAGCUUAGCAGAAUCUAUGCUGCCCCACCAGCGGAAAGAUCAAAGCCAAUUCAUGCAAGUGCACCUUCCAAAAAUGAAACCAUCUAUCAGGAGCGUGAGCUCUUCUUCAGGUUAAUAAGGAUGGGUUUUGACGAAAUAUAUUUGUCUAGCCCAGGUUCAUGAUCGGACAAUUAUGGAAGGACUAUUUUAUCUGCACUGGCCCUGCUUCAAUGUUGGUUCCUGUGACUGUCAACCCGGGUGAGGAGUGGUGAGGGGAACAAGUUAUAGAGCAUGAUAAUUUGCAAUCACAUCAUCUAAAAUAUUAAUUAAUGUUAAACUUGUGCUCUUGCGAGUUUACUACUGUAUAAAUAUGAGUCUGAGUUGUAGAAAAGGAAGAAGUACAUUAAAAUAUAUAAUUUAGGUUAACAUUUUUCUUUCCUUGAGUUUUCCUUUAAAUAUUCUUAAGAACUCAUUUUGAAUGUUUAAUGUUGAGUUAUUU
Molecule: long non-coding RNA, 2043 nt
Filed under: Olea europaea subsp. europaea
Lineage: Eukaryota; Viridiplantae; Streptophyta; Magnoliopsida; Lamiales; Oleaceae
Source: RNAcentral